AGCGAACGCUGGCGGCAGGCCUAACACAUGCAAGUCGAACGCACCUUCGGGUGAGUGGCGGACGGGUGAGUAACACGUGGGAACGUACCUUUUGGUUCGGAACAACACAGGGAAACUUGUGCUAAUACCGGAUGAGCCCUAUGGGGGAAAGAUUUAUCGCCGAAAGAGCGGCCCGCGUUAGAUUAGCUAGUUGGUGGGGUAAAGGCCCACCAAGGCUCCGAUCUAUAGCUGGUCUGAGAGGAUGAUCAGCCACACUGGGACUGAGACACGGCCCAGACUCCUACGGGAGGCAGCAGUGGGGAAUCUUGCGCAAUGGGCGAAAGCCUGACGCAGCCAUGCCGCGUGAAUGAUGAAGGUCUUAGGAUUGUAAAAUUCUUUUAGCAGGGACGAUAAUGACGGUACCUGCAGAAAAAGCCCCGGCUAACUUCGUGCCAGCAGCCGCCGUAAC
This 448-nucleotide ribosomal RNA is filed under the name uncultured bacterium. Its description in RNAcentral is "bacterial SSU rRNA". It matches the Rfam family "Bacterial small subunit ribosomal RNA", at positions 29 to 524 of the family's 1533-position model. The record is from RNAcentral.